Molecule: long non-coding RNA, 676 nt
Filed under: Chinchilla lanigera (long-tailed chinchilla)
Lineage: Eukaryota; Metazoa; Chordata; Mammalia; Rodentia; Chinchillidae
Description: lncRNA (ENSCLAG00000025679.1)
Source: RNAcentral
AAAGGCACCAGGGUGUUUCUCAGGUUCCAUCAGUGUGAUAGAGCAUAUUCCCUAGGAAGCAGGACACACAUGUGAUAGUAUAUUACCAAAAUUCAUGAUCGAUCCAAUUAUGUGAAUGGAGUUUGGAGAAAUGAGUGCUGAUGAGUAAAGCCUCCUCAUUAAUUUGGAAGCAGUGCUCAGAGAAGAUGAUCUGUUUCUGAUUGCUGAUCCCAGUUGAUUGGACAGAAGUAUCCGCAAGGAAGAGGACAAUUCACCCAGGAGACAAUAUUUGCAAAACCCUGAUGACCUUGUUUAAAGAUGAAAAGGGAUAUUGGAAUGUGUUCUGGAAGGUUGCUAGCGAUUUGUAUGAUGGCAGAAAAGCCCCACACUUUCUCAGCUUCUGGAAGACGUGUUAGCAGGAAAGGAACUAUCUGCACCAGCAUAUCCAUGGCAAGAGCUGUUCAUACCCUCGGACUCUUACUAAGUGAGGGCUGAUCUGCUGAGCAUUUGCCUUGGGAUUGAACGUUGGAUUGUGUUUCUCAUGACAUUUACCAGGUUAAAUCUGUAGCUCAUUUUUAUUGCAUUUUAGAAUAAACCCAAACUUUUAUCAACAAAGUUUUAUAAGUUUAGAAAGAAUUUUCAUUUUUGCAAGAAAAAUAUUAGCAUUCUACCUUAGAGUGUUACUGUGAGGUUAAAU